GGUGCAUGGUUGUCGUCAGCUCGUGUCGUGAGAUGUUGGGUUAAGUCCCGCAACGAGCGCAACCCUUGUCUUUAGUUGCCAUCAUUAAGUUGGGCACUCUAGAGAGACUGCCAGGGAUAACCUGGAGGAAGGUGGGGAUGACGUCAAAUCAUCAUGCCCCUUAUGCUUAGGGCUACACACGUGCUACAAUGGGUAGUACAGAGGGUUGCCAAGCCGUAAGGUGGAGCUAAUCCCUUAAAGCUACUCUCAGUUCGGAUUGUAGGCUGAAACUCGCCUACAUGAAGCUGGAGUUACUAGUAAUCGCAGAUCAGAAUGCUGCGGUGAAUGCGUUCCCGGGUCUUGUACACACCGCCCGUCACACCACGGGAGUUGGAGACGCCCGAAGCCGAUUAUCUAACCUUUUGGAAGAAGUCGUCGAAGGUGGAAUCAAUAACUGGGGUGAAGUCGUAACAAGGUAGCCGUAUCGGAAGGUGCGGCUGGAUCACCUCCUUUCUAAGGA
RNAcentral lists this ribosomal RNA (499 nucleotides) under Clostridioides difficile. RNAcentral's name for it is "bacterial SSU rRNA". It matches the Rfam family "Bacterial small subunit ribosomal RNA", at positions 1040 to 1533 of the family's 1533-position model. The record is from RNAcentral. Lineage: Bacteria; Bacillati; Bacillota; Clostridia; Peptostreptococcales; Peptostreptococcaceae.